GUGACGGUUCGGUCUAAGUGGGUU
RNAcentral lists this small nuclear RNA (24 nucleotides) under Arabidopsis thaliana (thale cress). RNAcentral describes it as "snRNA_08997". The record is from RNAcentral. Lineage: Eukaryota; Viridiplantae; Streptophyta; Magnoliopsida; Brassicales; Brassicaceae.